This 549-nucleotide ribosomal RNA is filed under the name Penicillium crustosum. Its description in RNAcentral is "eukaryotic LSU rRNA". The stretch from base 170 to 322 matches the Rfam family "5.8S ribosomal RNA". The record is from RNAcentral. Lineage: Eukaryota; Fungi; Ascomycota; Eurotiomycetes; Eurotiales; Aspergillaceae.
GUGAGGCCUCUGGGUCCACCUCCCACCCGUGUUUAUUUUACCUUGUUGCUUCGGCGGGCCCGCCUUAACUGGCCGCCGGGGGGCUUACGCCCCCGGGCCCGCGCCCGCCGAAGACACCCUCGAACUCUGUCUGAAGAUUGAAGUCUGAGUGAAAAUAUAAAUUAUUUAAAACUUUCAACAACGGAUCUCUUGGUUCCGGCAUCGAUGAAGAACGCAGCGAAAUGCGAUACGUAAUGUGAAUUGCAAAUUCAGUGAAUCAUCGAGUCUUUGAACGCACAUUGCGCCCCCUGGUAUUCCGGGGGGCAUGCCUGUCCGAGCGUCAUUGCUGCCCUCAAGCCCGGCUUGUGUGUUGGGCCCCGUCCCCCGAUCUCCGGGGGACGGGCCCGAAAGGCAGCGGCGGCACCGCGUCCGGUCCUCGAGCGUAUGGGGCUUUGUCACCCGCUCUGUAGGCCCGGCCGGCGCUUGCCGAUCAACCCAAAUUUUUAUCCAGGUUGACCUCGGAUCAGGUAGGGAUACCCGCUGAACUUAAGCAUAUCAAUAAGCGAGGGA